UGGGGAAUAUUGCACAAUGGGCGCAAGCCUGAUGCAGCCAUGCCGCGUGUAUGAAGAAGGCCUUCGGGUUGUAAAGUACUUUCAGCGGGGAGGAAGGGAGUAAAGUUAAUACCUUUGCUCAUUGACGUUACCCGCAGAAGAAGCACCGGCUAACUCCGUGCCAGCAGCCGCGGUAAUACGGAGGGUGCAAGCGUUAAUCGGAAUUACUGGGCGUAAAGCGCACGCAGGCGGUUUGUUAAGUCAGAUGUGAAAACCCCGGGCUCAACCUGGGAACUGCAUCUGAUACUGGCAAGCUUGAGUCUCGUAGAGGGGGGUAGAAUUCCAGGUGUAGCGGUGAAAUGCGUAGAGAUCUGGAGGAAUACCGGUGGCGAAGGCGGCCCCCUGGACGAAGACUGACGCUCAGGUGCGAAUGCGUGGGGAGCAAACA
This 427-nucleotide ribosomal RNA is filed under the name uncultured bacterium. Its description in RNAcentral is "partial 16S ribosomal RNA". It matches the Rfam family "Bacterial small subunit ribosomal RNA", at positions 355 to 774 of the family's 1533-position model. The record is from RNAcentral.